Molecule: long non-coding RNA, 711 nt
Filed under: Rattus norvegicus (Norway rat)
Lineage: Eukaryota; Metazoa; Chordata; Mammalia; Rodentia; Muridae
Description: long non-coding RNA NONRATT004524
Source: RNAcentral
GUAAAGGAUGCUGACCUUUCCAACUUGCAGUUCUGGAGAACUAGUGUAAUCCAGGCUAUCAAGUCCCAGCGGCAGGUGGAGGCACACUCCUAGACGCUCACACCCCGCGCGCCGCACCCCCGGGGCUCACCGGGCUUCGACCGGACAGCGAGAAUGUAGCAUGACUGGAGAAGCGCGCGGUGCCCAGGCGGGGGGCGCGGUCUGUAACCGUGGUCGCUGGAGGCGGACUAGGCGUGCCGGGUGCAGGGGACACACCAGUCGCCAAGCCCAGCGCCUCCACCUGGCGGGUCAAGCGUUCGAGCUGCGCCUGCAACCUCUGGUUGUCCCGCUGCAGCUCGGCCACAGUGCGAGCCAAGGGGCCAGCCAGGCGCAGCGCCUCGGCCACGCGCCGCUCCACGCCGCGCUGCAGCCCCUGCAUGUCCUCGUGCAGCGCACGCACGGCACCCUCCAGCGCCGCUUCAUAGCGGCCCAGCGCCUCGCGCACCGUGUGCGCCUCCUCGGCGUCGGGGGUUGGCUCCAUGGCGGAGCAGAGCGCACAGAUCGGACAGCCGGCAGAACACGGGAGACGAGAGACCUACAGCUUCUUGCAAGGACUGGCCGGCCGUGGCUGGCUGAGCCUGAGGGGCGGCCGGAGGGGCGGGAGCAGGGCGGGGCAGACCCCUAGAGCCCCAGGACUGGGCGCCGCGUGGGGAGGCGGGGCCGAGGGGGCGG